CUUCUGCUGAAUUCUUGUGUGCUGCACUGAGUUAGAAGUCUUACCUCAAAACUGACUCCAACUUUGCAAAGAAGUCUGCAGGAAUUUCUACCUAGCCGACCGCCGUCAUUUAUUUGAGCAGCUCAGUACAUAAUUAAGAAGCCCUGGAGCCUGGGACAGCCUUUUAUCUUGAAAAGUGGCUCUUCCAGGUUUUACUAGGUCAUCAGGUACCAUCCUUCUUCAGACUCAAACACUCACCCUCUAAUGAAUCUGGAGCAUGCUCUGCCUAUUUCUGGUUUUGGUCACCUCUUCGUGUAUAUUCCUGCUCCUGCUUUUUUGACUCAGCCAAAAAUAAGUGAAACCCAUGACUCAGGUUUCUCCUCCAUCAGUGAGCUCAUGAAUUCUUCCCAUGUCCUGUUCCACCACUGUGGGUUCUUUAUACAGUUCAGACACUUCUGAAAACAUCAUGAUGCAUCCUACACCCUAAGGUGGGUUUGUCCAUCAGUUUGCUGGUUCUGACCUUUCCUUAUCCGCACAGAAAGGAGGGUGACUAGCAAUAGGAUGAGAGGGAAUGACUUGAAGUUGAGCCAGGGGUGGUUCAGGAUGGAUAUUAGGAAAAAUUUAUUCUCAGAAAGAGUGGUCAUGCAGUGGCACGGACUGCCUGGGGAAGUGGUGGAGUCACCAUCCCUGGAGGUGUUCAGGAACCGUGGAGAUGUGGCGCUGAGUGACACGGUCAGUGGCCAACAUUGGUGAUAGGAGGAUGAUUGGAUUGGAUGAUCUUAGAGAUCUUUUCCAAUCUUAACAAUUCUAUUAUUCUUUAAUUCCCUGUGUGUCCUCUUCCAGAUCUCCUUUAACCACUGCAAUUAUUUUUGUGACAUAGCCACAGGCUGAGUGGCACCAAACCAUGACCCAGAGCUGAACAUCUCCAGAGCCAUCAGCAACAUCUGGAGCCAUGCAGCCUCACUGCUGGCUGCCCUUCCCAAUUCCGUAAAUCAUUCCCUAACAGGAUGACAGGGAUUACGUCAGUUUAAUGAUGCUCUCAUCAUUAGCAAGAUCCAAUUAACAGUGAAGUCUAAAGAAUCUUCAAAUGUAAGCUUGCUAAUUUAAAUGCAGAUAAUUCAGGUACCAGUUGAGUGCUUAAACCAAGACUGGUAGUUGGACUAGAUGAUCUUGGUGUUUUUUUCCAACCUUAAUGACUAUAUGAUUCUGUAAUUUAAUGAUUUCAAAGUCUGUGUUGAUAACAUAUACAAAGUCUGGUCAAAUCUCAUGAACUGCAAAGGGUUGGAUCCUUCAGGGUGGAUGUGAGAAAAUCAACACAGAUUUGUCUGCAACGGAAAGACCUCCAGUUAAGGAACAGACAGAUUCUCACGGCCAUUUAACAGAUUACCAUGCAAGAAGAAGGAAAAUAAAAACAACAGAGACAGAGAGGCACCAAGCACAGCUUUAAAACUUAUCAUCUUUUGUAUGGCAUUUUUUUUUUCUCUUAUGCAUGUGACUGGGCUAUUUUUUCCAACCAAUUCCAGCAUCUUGAAAGAGCUCCGUGUCACAAGGCAGUGGUCCUGGAGCCCAGGCUGUCAGCUGAACUCUGGAAGUUAAUGGGCUUGCGUUGGCGGAAAGCAUUCCUGGAGAAAACAUCUUGAUAAAAGGAAAAAAAAAUGCCCAGGGAGUGACAAAUGUCUGUGGUGAGGCCAGAGGAAGAGGAAGAGAGGGAGAAAGAACAGUGGAAAGGAAGUAGAAAUGGGAGGAAAAGAAGGGCACAUAAAGUAUAUAUGUAUUUUAUAUGUACAUAUAUAUGUCUAAUAGAAAGCAGGCAAUAAAAACAGGUACCCAGGCAUGAGGGAUGCAGAAGCAGCUGUGGUUUUAGACAGAUUUAUUGCAGAAUGGAGUUGGGCAGCUUGAAACUUUCAGGAGAAAAAAGAGAGAAUAAGUUGAUCUGAUGAAAUAAUUAUGAGCAGGAGAAUGUGAUGGAGAAGGGAAGAGAAGGCUUUACAGCUGGCAGACAAAUGAAAAGGCUGAGCAGAUCCUCUGGAAACUGGUGGAGAUGUUAGCUUCUGUAUUUGAGCUCUUCAUAUGUCUUCAAGGCCCAAGUGAUCUACCCAUAUGGGCACACGUCUGCCACCAAAAUGCUCUGGGCCUUAACAGCUGUACCAGACAGUGCACAGAUUCCACCAGUGGGUAAGAUGAAGCCCUUUUGUCUCUAUGCUAAGCCCAUCUGCUUUCCAGUGGAAAUGGCACACACUCACCCCUCUCUCGGUAGACCUCUUACAGAAUCAUAGAAUUGUUUGAGUUGGAAGAGACCCUGAAAGGCCAUCUGGUCCAACUCUCUGCAAUGAACAGGGAUGCUCACUGCUGCAUCAGGUGCUGAGAGCCCCAUCCAGCCUGACCUUGGGUGUCUCCAGGGAUGGGGAACCACCGUCUCUCUGGCAAACCUGUGCCAGUGCUUCCUCAAAGGGCAUUUGAGAUGAAACAUCACUGUAGGAUAUGGUCAUCAUUUGGCUCAUGGAGCACCAUCAGAGCCACUGUUGAGCUCUGAAGCACAGAAUAGGGGAUGGUCCCUAUUAGUCACAUCAAAACGAGCUUGACCUUGAUGUAGGAGUGUGAUUUGGUGCCUAAAUGCAAUCUGCCAACACUUUUGGAAGGCCCCAGAGUGUUCAAGAUAGGGGAACUGGCAGCUUUGGCAUAGGAGGCCCAGCUGGAGGCCAGAUGGGAGAUCUGGGCCACCUCAGUGGGCACCUGAGGGUGGAUUAUGCAUGACCCUUCCUCAUACACAGGCAUAUAUAUCAUAGGCACCUAUGGCUAGACGGCAAGUCAGCCAGCUGAAUCCCCACAUCUCCUGACCCCACCAAGAGCUCAGAAAUUAACUUCCCUCAGUGGUUUUGCUGACCUUGAACAGUCAAAAACCAGGGGGCAGUCCUCAGUCCCACUCCACCUCCUGCAAAAAACAGAGGCUGGGAUAUUAAAUACAACCCUGGCUUCUCACUGCCACAGUAGUGUCAAACUCCAGGCAGAAUCAUGGGUGACGGUAGGGCAAAGCCACAGAAUCUUACCCCAGUGCUGAACUAAAGAAGGAACCUCGGAGAGACAGAAACCUCCUUUUCUCCUUCCAGAGAAAGUCACUCUCAUUUCGUUUUCAUUGACUUCAGUCAGUGCUUUGCUGGUCCUUUGCCAGCUCAGGAGUCUCCUGGUUGUAUUUAUUCUGUGCACAGGUCUGCAGAAAGCGUUUUCAGACUUUUGGGGUACCAGCUGGGUUCUCCCCAGAAGUGAAGAUCUCUCAUUUUCUCUAGAGGUGCAUGGAUUUUUGCCCACUUGGAAAGCUUCUUGUUGGUUGGAGCAGCAGUAAAUAAGGCUUUACUGACAACACCAGCCCUGUAAGCGGUGAUGGAUCGUCACCAUGAGAGUGUAACUUAUCAGAGGAAAAAGCUACUAUUUCACAGUGAAAUGCUUCAAAGAGUGACCAUCUGCAGCCGAUCCCAUUACAGACAAAGGCUGGCUAAAUAACAGAGCUGAACAACGUAUUAAUUGUCAAUAUUUUUAUAUGUACCGGGUAUUGAAAGCAUUUUCUAUUCUUACUAAUAUUAAACUUUCUGUUUUGGAAUAGCCGUAGAGUCUGAUUGGUCUGAAAGCAGAAAGCUGACGCCGAAAUUUAGUAUCCCGGUGUGUGAUUUAUUGGAGGAGGUGCUCAAAUAUGGAAACUGGGGCUUUGAUCUUUUCAUGAGAAAUAGUUUUCCCAUCUGCGAUCCAGGGGCAUUUCUAUCAGCUACUUUAUAACUAUGUAAUAGCUGUAAAAUAUGAAAUGAGUCUGAAUAACUAUUAAGGAGGUGGGAUCUUCCUCUAAUCAAUUAAGUUUUGAAAGCCCUCAUCCUCCAGCAGCUAUUUUAGCACUAGUGCACAAAUGGGGAUGUUCAUGCAAAAAAAAAAAAUGACACAGUUUUUUUUCCAGGAGCCUUGAUGUCGUAAUGGAUCUUCCUUUUCAAUUAAUUUUAAAAACAUGUAUUUAUGUGUAUGUGCUCAGCAUCACCAGGACUGAGGAUAUUCCAUCAUUUUUUUUUUCCUCUCCUGAACUACGUUUAACAAUGCCAAAGCAAAUCUGCUCUUAGGGCAAAUCUCCUGACACAAGUGGAAUCAAAGCCUUUGAUCCCUGAACAUUCUGCCCCGUCAGAAUGGCUUCCCCCUGCUUGCUUAGUCCCAAAGUGGGAGCUGUGAUGGGAUUCAGCUGCCAUCCCCACAUUCAUCUCAAGGGUAAACAUGAAAGGUCAAGCAGUUGCCUUCCCUUCAUCCACCGUUGCUGUCACUGUAUCACAGAGCACCAGAGCAGGGGCAAGGAAGUAUUCUUGCCAGCACUUUAUGUUAACAGUUAGCUGUGUCUUUUCUCCAGACCCUACCAAUCCCUGCACCCAGCACUGGGUUUGGCCAGUGAGUAAUGGAAAAGCAAGGGAACGCCGAGGAAUCAAAGACAGUGUGCUGAAGAGAUGAGAAAGGACAAUACGAGUCAUGGUGAACGUUGACAUUCCUUGGUGGGGCUUUGCAUGGUGCUAGCGGUGAUGGAUGGAUGGAUGGCAGGGGUGGAUUGAUGCAAGGAUGGAUGGAUGGAUGGAUGGAUGGAUGAAUGGAUGGAUGGAUGGAUGGACGGACGAAUGGAUGGAUGGAUGGAUGGAUGGAUGAAUGGAUGGAUGGAUGGAUGGAUGGAGGGUGAAAGGGAGAGAAGGUUAGAUGAAUGGAGGGAUGGAUGUCAGGGAUUUCUGUCACAGAGCAGCUCAAAAGAGAAAUACUCAGGUGAAACACCAGAAACUACCAGGAAACACUCCCCUUGGCACCUUGGAUUUCUACCCUCUCAGAGCUUCAGGACUUCUUCCCCAGUCCCACACUGUCCCUCUGUUCAGGCCAUCAUGUCAGCAGCAGCUCCUCAAAGCUAAAUAUGCAUGUCAAAAUGAUCAGAGAUGCUCUUUGAAGAGUGGGCAGGAUUUUUCAUUGCAGAUUCCCAGCUGCCUUUUCCUGCUAACCUUGCAUUCCUGAGAAUGCAAAGUGAGACAGGAACGUAUGUACAGAGAACGUGUUACCCAUAACAUCAGCUACUCCCACAGCCAGGAAAAUAUUUCCUGUGAGUUUCCUUCCUUGCAAAAGCCAAAAAUCAGACCAGUUUUUCCCCUCGAAUUUUCCAAGCACUUUCUGGAUUGUUCCUGAGCGUGUAGAGAGCUCGCAUUUCAUCCCACACCUCACAGAGUCUGGUGUGGAAAUAGAUUGUGAUAACGCUGCCAUCAUCAUCUCCACUGUGCAGUCACCACUGAUUUACUCUUAUUUGUGGUAUUGCAGUUCUCACUGACCUCAACUCAGACAGGAGCUGCCGGCAGUAACAGACAUAUGGAGUAAUAAUUAAUGGCAGGUAAUUAUGGCAGAUAAACAACAAAUUAGAAGUCCCUGGCAGAGAAUUCUCCUCUCUUUUGGGGGGAAUUAACCAGUCUCUUUUUUUAAG
Gallus gallus (chicken) is the source of this 5449-nucleotide long non-coding RNA. Lineage: Eukaryota; Metazoa; Chordata; Aves; Galliformes; Phasianidae. The record is from Ensembl.